This 1346-nucleotide long non-coding RNA is filed under the name Pan troglodytes (chimpanzee). Its description in RNAcentral is "long non-coding RNA NONPTRT017844". Lineage: Eukaryota; Metazoa; Chordata; Mammalia; Primates; Hominidae. The record is from RNAcentral.
GUUUAUUUUCGCGGUUGGUAGCGGCGCUGGCGCUGGUUAGAGGUUCGCCGCUGACGUGAGCGCCCGAGUUGGGGGAGAGGACCAGAACCACCUGCUGGAGAAAGGGAGCUACGGGGACCGGGCAGGGUCCAAACGCCUCACGUAGGCGGCGGCGCCACGGUCUUCGGGGUCACAGGGAAGAGAAGGGCUCUCCUCAAGCGGGUGGAAGGAGGGAGGCCUCCCGAGGGAAUGAGACUCUAGGCCACUCCCCCGCAGCAAGGCAGGAUCACCUGCGUCGCGGAGAGCGGUUAGAGGGCCCUGGAGUGGAAAAGGGCAGUGGGACCUGGUAGCUUGGGUUCCCUGCAACUUGGGGUUCGACCUCCAGGCAAUGAAGUAGGGAUGGUCCUGCAAGCCAAGAUUCCAGUAGCAAGACUUCAUCACAUCUCUGUCGUAGUGGACUAAUUUUACAGGCGAAGUUAAGUGACUUACCCAAAACCUCACAGCUAAUAAACGGCAGAGCCGGCACCCAGCUGUACUGGCUUCCAGCGCAUCCCAUUAUCUCCAUAAAUCCUCCUGAUUCAACUAAUAUUAGACGCCCCACAGCUGGACCCUGGACACGGUGACUCUGAUUCAAUUAUGCAGAUGACCACAAGCCUCUGGGGUUGGCAGAGCCACAAGAAAGAAGGUGCCUGGAUGAAGGAGAGCUACCCACUGACCUGGACACCCAAUUAUGUCAUAGGUGCUGCAAUCUAGAGACAAAAUAUUCCUUACACUGGCAGAUACUUGCAAACUAAGGGGAACGAGCUUCCUUCUGAAUGUUUAUGAAGGAGAGACCACUGUGAGGAUAGACAGUGAAGUGCAACUACAGCCCGCAAAUGAAAAUGAAUAAAAUUAAUCCAGCCCCUCAAGGCAGUCAUCUGUCUUAGAGCUAUUGGAAUCCUGGAUCACUGUGGGAAAUGAAAGGAACUGGUUUUUAGCAAGGAGACCAAGAAACUCUACUCCCUAGGGGCUAGCAAUGAGAGAAAGGAAGCCUUGAGUCUUUGAGCACAGGGUGACAGUUUGGGUCCUAUGUGAGAUGAUCAAAUCCACAGCAACAGAGGAAAGGACAAAAGGAAAAGGUCUGUAGCAGCACUACAUCAGAAAAAAUGGAUUCAGCAAGGAAGUGGGUGACUCUGAGUAAGCAUGCAUGUCAGGAUGGUUUUGCUACAGCCCCCAACCAAACAUUAAUUAGUUUAAGAAACUCAACUUUGGUUUACAAGUGUUUUGGAAAAGUAACAAAGAACAACCUAAGUAACAAAAUAAUUCCUCAGGUCAUUACAAUGGAUGUUUCCUAUAACUGAAAAAUAUGGUUAAAAAGUACAAACUAC